UACGUAGGGGGCGAGCGUUGUCCGGAAUCACUGGGCGUAAAGGGUGCGUAGGCGGCUUGUUAAGUCCUGUGUGAAAUCUCCCGGCUCAACCGGGAGGGGUCAUGGGAAACUGGCAGGCUGGAGUGCCGGAGAGGGUCGCGGAAUUCCAGGUGUAGCGGUGGAAUGCGUAGAUAUCUGGAGGAACACCAGUGGCGAGGGCGGCGACCUGGACGGUAACUGACGCUGAGGCACGAAAGCUGGGGGAGCGAACAGG
Molecule: ribosomal RNA, 253 nt
Filed under: uncultured bacterium
Lineage: Bacteria
Description: partial 16S ribosomal RNA
Rfam family: Bacterial small subunit ribosomal RNA
Source: RNAcentral